ACAUGUCUUUUUAGUAUUUAAUAUAAAGUCUGGCCUGCCCACUGAAUAUAAUGUUUGAAGGGCCGCAGUAUUUUGACUGUGCAAAGGUAGCAUAAUCAUUAGUCUUUUAAUUGAAGGCUGGUAUGAAUGGUCGGAUGAGAUAUAAGCUGUGUCAUAAAAAUUAUUAUUUGAAUUUAACUUUUUAGUCAAAAGGCUAAAAUAAUUUUAAAAGACGAGAAGACCCUAUAGAGCUUUAUAUAGUAAAUGUUUAAAUUAUUAAGAUUUAUUAAAUUUAAUUUUUGUACUUUAUUAUGUUGGGGUGACAAUAAAAUUUAUAAAACUUUUAUUUUUAUUUAACAUUAAUCUAUGGUUAUAUGAUCCAAUUUUAUUGAUUAUAAAUUUAAGUUACCUUAGGGAUAACAGCGUAAUUUUUUUUGAGAGUUCUUAUCGACAAAAAAGAUUGCGACCUCGAUGUUGGAUUAAGAUUAAUUUUGGGUGUAGAAGUUCAAAAUUUAAGUCUGUUCGACUUUUAAAUUCUUACAUGAUC
RNAcentral lists this ribosomal RNA (526 nucleotides) under Simulium sofiani. RNAcentral's name for it is "partial 16S ribosomal RNA". It matches the Rfam family "Bacterial large subunit ribosomal RNA", at positions 1815 to 2605 of the family's 2925-position model. The record is from RNAcentral. Lineage: Eukaryota; Metazoa; Arthropoda; Insecta; Diptera; Simuliidae.